RNAcentral lists this ribosomal RNA (482 nucleotides) under uncultured bacterium. RNAcentral's name for it is "partial 16S ribosomal RNA". It matches the Rfam family "Bacterial small subunit ribosomal RNA", at positions 30 to 507 of the family's 1533-position model. The record is from RNAcentral.
AUUGAACGCUGGCGGCAUGCUUUACACAUGCAAGUCGAACGGUAACAGGCCGCAAGGUGCUGACGAGUGGCGAACGGGUGAGUAAUGCAUCGGAACGUGCCCAGUCGUGGGGGAUAACUACUCGAAAGAGUAGCUAAUACCGCAUACGAUCUAUGGAUGAAAGCGGGGGACCGUAAGGCCUCGCGCGAUUGGAGCGGCCGAUGUCAGAUUAGGUAGUUGGUGGGGUAAAGGCUCACCAAGCCAACGAUCUGUAGCUGGUCUGAGAGGACGACCAGCCACACUGGGACUGAGACACGGCCCAGACUCCUACGGGAGGCAGCAGUGGGGAAUUUUGGACAAUGGGCGCAAGCCUGAUCCAGCAAUGCCGCGUGCAGGAAGAAGGCCUUCGGGUUGUAAACUGCUUUUGUACGGAACGAAACGGCUCUGGUUAAUACCCGGGGCUAAUGACGGUACCGUAAGAAUAAGCACCGGCUAGCUACGUG